GACUUCGUAGCUCGGCUGGUAAAGCGCUUGCCACGUUGAGGCAUGAUGUUUCUGUCGCCGGUUCAAAUCCAGCCGAAGUCC
Non-coding RNA from Paragonimus skrjabini miyazakii, 81 nucleotides. The record is from the annotation of a GenBank genome assembly. NCBI's taxonomy places the organism in Eukaryota, Metazoa, Platyhelminthes, Trematoda, Plagiorchiida, Troglotrematidae.